UACAGAGGUCUCAAGCGUUGUUCGGAUUCAUUGGGCGUAAAGGGCGCGUAGGCGGCGGGGUAAGUCUGGUGUGAAAUCUAGGAGCUCAACUCCUAAACUGCACUGGAUACUGCUCUGCUAGAGGACUGAAGAGGAGACUGGAAUUCACGGUGUAGCAGUGAAAUGCGUAGAUAUCGUGAGGAAGACCAGUGGCGAAGGCGGGUCUCUGGACAGUUCCUGACGCUGAGGCGCGAAGGCCAGGGGAGCAAACGGG
Molecule: ribosomal RNA, 253 nt
Filed under: uncultured bacterium
Lineage: Bacteria
Description: partial 16S ribosomal RNA
Rfam family: Bacterial small subunit ribosomal RNA
Source: RNAcentral